This 301-nucleotide ribosomal RNA is filed under the name uncultured bacterium. Its description in RNAcentral is "partial 16S ribosomal RNA". It matches the Rfam family "Bacterial small subunit ribosomal RNA", at positions 509 to 807 of the family's 1533-position model. The record is from RNAcentral.
CAGUCGCCGCGGUAAUACGAAGGGUGCAAGCGUUACUCGGAAUUACUGGGCGUAAAGCGUGCGUAGGUGGUGGUUUAAGUCCGUUGUGAAAGCCCUGGGCUCAACCUGGGAAUUGCAGUGGAUACUGGGUCACUAGAGUGUGGUAGAGGAUAGUGGAAUUUCCGGUGUAGCAGUGAAAUGCGUAGAGAUCGGAAGGAACAUCUGUGGCGAAGGCGACUAUCUGGGCCAACACUGACACUGAGGCACGAAAGCGUAGGGAGCAAACAGGAUUAGAUACCCCCGUAGUCCCUGUCUCUUAUAC